This 492-nucleotide ribosomal RNA is filed under the name uncultured bacterium. RNAcentral's name for it is "partial 16S ribosomal RNA". It matches the Rfam family "Bacterial small subunit ribosomal RNA", at positions 29 to 507 of the family's 1533-position model. The record is from RNAcentral.
AGUGAACGCUGGCGGUAGGCCUAACACAUGCAAGUCGAACGGCAGCACAGUAAGAGCUUGCUCUUACGGGUGGCGAGUGGCGGACGGGUGAGGAAUACAUCGGAAUCUACUUUUUCGUGGGGGAUAACGUAGGGAAACUUACGCUAAUACCGCAUACGACCUACGGGUGAAAGCAGGGGAUCUUCGGACCUUGCGCGAUUGAAUGAGCCGAUGUCGGAUCAGCUAGUUGGCGGGGUAAAGGCCCACCAAGGCGACGAUCCGUAGCUGGUCUGAGAGGAUGAUCGGCCACACUGGAACUGAGACACGGUCCAGACUCCUACGGGAGGCAGCAGUGGGGAAUAUUGGACAAUGGGCGCAAGCCUGAUCCAGCCAUACCGCGUGGGUGAAGAAGGCCUUCGGGUUGUAAAGCCCUUUUGUUGGGAAAGAAAAGCAGCAGGUUAAUACCCCGCUGUUCUGACGGUACCCAAAGAAUAAGCACCGGCUAACUUCGUG